This 253-nucleotide ribosomal RNA is filed under the name uncultured bacterium. RNAcentral's name for it is "partial 16S ribosomal RNA". It matches the Rfam family "Bacterial small subunit ribosomal RNA", at positions 524 to 776 of the family's 1533-position model. The record is from RNAcentral.
UACGGGGGGGGCAAGCGUUGUUCGGAAUUACUGGGCGUAAAGGGCUCGUAGGUGGCCAACUAAGUCAGACGUGAAAUCCCUCGGCUUAACCGGGGAACUGCGUCUGAUACUGGAUGGCUUGAGGUUGGGAGAGGGAUGCGGAAUUCCAGGUGUAGCGGUGAAAUGCGUAGAUAUCCGGAGGAACACCGGUGGCGAAGGCGGCAUCCUGGACCAAUUCUGACACUGAGGAGCGAAAGCCAGGGGAGCAAACGGG